RNAcentral lists this ribosomal RNA (703 nucleotides) under Bacillus sp. MDMC296. Its description in RNAcentral is "bacterial SSU rRNA". It matches the Rfam family "Bacterial small subunit ribosomal RNA", at positions 188 to 874 of the family's 1533-position model. Lineage: Bacteria; Bacillati; Bacillota; Bacilli; Caryophanales; Bacillaceae. The record is from RNAcentral.
GCAUGGUUCAAACAUAAAAGGUGGCUUCGGCUACCACUUACAGAUGGACCCGCGGCGCAUUAGCUAGUUGGUGAGGUAACGGCUCACCAAGGCAACGAUGCGUAGCCGACCUGAGAGGGUGAUCGGCCACACUGGGACUGAGACACGGCCCAGACUCCUACGGGAGGCAGCAGUAGGGAAUCUUCCGCAAUGGACGAAAGUCUGACGGAGCAACGCCGCGUGAGUGAUGAAGGUUUUCGGAUCGUAAAGCUCUGUUGUUAGGGAAGAACAAGUACCGUUCGAAUAGGGCGGUACCUUGACGGUACCUAACCAGAAAGCCACGGCUAACUACGUGCCAGCAGCCGCGGUAAUACGUAGGUGGCAAGCGUUGUCCGGAAUUAUUGGGCGUAAAGGGCUCGCAGGCGGUUUCUUAAGUCUGAUGUGAAAGCCCCCGGCUCAACCGGGGAGGGUCAUUGGAAACUGGGGAACUUGAGUGCAGAAGAGGAGAGUGGAAUUCCACGUGUAGCGGUGAAAUGCGUAGAGAUGUGGAGGAACACCAGUGGCGAAGGCGACUCUCUGGUCUGUAACUGACGCUGAGGAGCGAAAGCGUGGGGAGCGAACAGGAUUAGAUACCCUGGUAGUCCACGCCGUAAACGAUGAGUGCUAAGUGUUAGGGGGGUUUCCGCCCCUUAGUGCUGCAGCUAACGCAUUAAGCACUCCGCCU